UGAGGAAUAUUGGUCAAUGGACGCAAGUCUGAACCAGCCAAGUAGCGUGCAGGAUGACGGCCCUAUGGGUUGUAAACUGCUUUUAUAUGGGGAUAAAGCGGGGAACGUGUUCCCUUUUGCAGGUACCAUAUGAAUAAGGACCGGCUAAUUCCGUGCCAGCAGCCGCGGUAAUACGGAAGGUUCGGGCGUUAUCCGGAUUUAUUGGGUUUAAAGGGAGCGUAGGCCGUUUGGUAAGCGUGUUGUGAAAUGUAGGAGCUCAACUUCUAGAUUGCAGCGCGAACUGUCAGACUUGAGUGCGCACAACGUACGCGGAAUUCAUGGUGUAGCGGUGAAAUGCUUAGAUAUCAUGAAGAACUCCGAUUGCGAAGGCAGCUUACGGGAGCGCAACUGACGCUGAAGCUCGAAGGUGCGGGUAUCGAACAGG
This 424-nucleotide ribosomal RNA is filed under the name Verrucomicrobiota bacterium. RNAcentral describes it as "Verrucomicrobia bacterium partial 16S ribosomal RNA". It matches the Rfam family "Bacterial small subunit ribosomal RNA", at positions 355 to 776 of the family's 1533-position model. Lineage: Bacteria; Pseudomonadati; Verrucomicrobiota. The record is from RNAcentral.